GUAAACGAUGGAUGCCCGCUGUUUGCCCUUCGGGGUGAGUGGCUAAGCGAAAGCGUUAAGCAUCCCACCUGGGGAGUACGCCGGCAACGGUGAAACUCAAAGGAAUUGACGGGGGCCCGCACAAGCGGAGGAACAUGUGGUUUAAUUCGAUGAUACGCGAGGAGCCUUACCCGGGCUUGAAUUGCAGAUGACGGAUCUAGAGAUAGUGACUUCCUUCGGGACAUCUGUGAAGGUGCUGCAUGGUUGUCGUCAGCUCGUGCCGUGAGGUGUCGGCUUAAGUGCCAUAACGAGCGCAACCCUUCUCUUCAGUUGCCAUCAGGUAGAGCUGGGCACUCUGGAGACACUGCCACCGUAAGGUGUGAGGAAGGUGGGGAUGACGUCAAAUCAGCACGGCCCUUACGUCCGGGGCUACACACGUGUUACAAUGGCCGGUACAGAAAGUCGGAUGCCCGUAAGGUCAUUCUAAUCAAGAAAGCCGGUCCCAGUUCGGACUGAGGUCUGCAACCCGACCUCACGAAGCUGGAUUCGCUAGUAAUCGCGCAUCAGCCAUGGCGCGGUGAAUACGUUCCCGGGCCUUGUACACACCGCCCGUCAAGCCA
RNAcentral lists this ribosomal RNA (599 nucleotides) under bovine rumen bacterium JPR22. RNAcentral's name for it is "bacterial SSU rRNA". It matches the Rfam family "Bacterial small subunit ribosomal RNA", at positions 802 to 1404 of the family's 1533-position model. The record is from RNAcentral.